CGCCGGCGGGGGAGCUGAUCCAGCCGUCGGUGAGCGAGCUGUCCCGGGCCGUGCGGACCAACAUCCUGUGCACCGUGCGCGGCUGCGGCAAGAUCCUGCCCAACAGCCCCGCGCUCAACAUGCACCUGGUCAAGAGCCACCGCCUGCAGGAUGGCAUAGUCAAUCCAACAAUAAGAAAAGAUUUGAAAACUGGACCGAAAUUCUACUGCUGUCCAAUUGAAGGCUGCCCCAGAGGCCCUGAGAGACCAUUUUCUCAGUUUUCUCUCGUAAAACAGGUACUCUCUACUUCUCUGAGGAUGAGAUACAGAUGCUAUAAACCUAUUGUGCAUUCUGAUUACUUAGCAGACAUAACUAAGAAUCGAGUAGACAGCUGCUUGUGAGAGGAGAUGCCUGCGUGUCUCCCAGUUGGUAUAAACCUGAGUAUGCUGUCACACAAGUGGAGGGAAAAGCGGCACGGUCUGGAGGGAAUAUGUCUAGAAAUGAGUUAAAAUACAGAGAGAGAGAGUA
RNAcentral lists this small RNA (507 nucleotides) under Pongo abelii (Sumatran orangutan). RNAcentral's name for it is "retained intron". Lineage: Eukaryota; Metazoa; Chordata; Mammalia; Primates; Hominidae. The record is from RNAcentral.